RNAcentral lists this non-coding RNA (129 nucleotides) under Corynebacterium xerosis. RNAcentral describes it as "SAM-IV sequence". It matches the Rfam family "SAM (S-adenosyl methionine) riboswitch aptamer". Rfam says of the family: SAM-IV is a mRNA element that regulates gene expression via direct sensing of S-adenosylmethionine (SAM or AdoMet). SAM-IV riboswitches share conserved nucleotide positions with the previously described SAM-I riboswitches sequence analysis and molecular recognition experiments suggest that SAM-I and SAM-IV riboswitches share similar ligand binding sites, but have different scaffolds. The record is from RNAcentral. Lineage: Bacteria; Bacillati; Actinomycetota; Actinomycetes; Mycobacteriales; Corynebacteriaceae.
GGUCCAGAGUUGCGGCGGGCUGCACGAGCCCCGGGACUUCAUCGCCGCACGGCAACCGCGGUUCGAGCCUCGGUGCCCUCCCGGGAAGACCGGCCACCGCCGGAUCUCCGGCGGUCGGAAGAACUCGAC